GCAGGUAUAGCUCAGUGGUAGAGCGUGUGCUUAGCACGCACAAGGUCCUGGGUUCGAUUCCUGGUACCGCCA
This 72-nucleotide transfer RNA is filed under the name Camelus bactrianus (Bactrian camel). It matches the Rfam family "tRNA". Rfam says of the family: Transfer RNA (tRNA) molecules are approximately 80 nucleotides in length. The record is from Rfam by way of RNAcentral. RNAcentral also lists the same sequence under 2 other names. Lineage: Eukaryota; Metazoa; Chordata; Mammalia; Artiodactyla; Camelidae.